Molecule: ribosomal RNA, 494 nt
Filed under: uncultured bacterium
Lineage: Bacteria
Description: partial 16S ribosomal RNA
Rfam family: Bacterial small subunit ribosomal RNA
Source: RNAcentral
GACGAACGCUGGCGGCGUGCUUAACACAUGCAAGUCGAACGGAAAGGCCUGCUUUCCCUUGUGGAUUGCGGGUACUCGAGUGGCGAACGGGUGAGUAACACGUGAGUGAUCUGCCCCCAACUUGGGUAUAAGCCUGGGAAACUGGGUCUAAUUCCCGAUAGGACUGCAGGGUGGUGCCUGUGGUGGAAAACGAUUUUCUAGUGGUUGGGGAUGAGCUCGCGGCCUAUCAGCCUGUUGGUGGGGUAAUGGCCUACCAAGGCGGCGACGGGUAGCCGGCCUGAGAGGGUGGACGGCCACAUUGGGACUGAGAUACGGCCCAGACUCCUACGGGAGGCAGCAGUGGGGAAUAUUGCACAAGGGGCGGAAGCCUGAUGCAGCGACGCCGCGUGGGGGAUGACGGCCUUCGGGUUGUAAACUCCUUUCGACCGCGAGGAAGCCACCUGGUUGGAAGGGUGGUGACGGUAGUGGUAGAAGAAGCACCGGCUAACUACGUG